UUUCCGUAGGUGAACCUGCGGAAGGAUCAUUAUUGUAUAACAGAGGUGAGAGGGCUGUGGGUGACCCGAAAGGUCGUGCACGCGCGAGUGCCCUCACGCGCCUCCCUCUCACGCAUUUGUGGACUACCGGGUGGAUCCCCAUGUGGCAUGUUCGGAGGGUGGGUGACGUUUUCAAACAUUCUUCGUAUGCAGUGUAGAAUGUAUUUUUUGUUUUUGCGACAACGGAACGGAUACAACUUUCAACAAAGUACCUCUUGUCUUUCGCAUCGAGGAAGAAGG
RNAcentral lists this unclassified non-coding RNA (279 nucleotides) under plant metagenome. RNAcentral describes it as "partial contains small subunit ribosomal RNA, internal transcribed spacer 1, and 5.8S ribosomal RNA". The record is from RNAcentral.